UACGGAGGAUCCAAGCGUUAUCCGGAAUCAUUGGGUUUAAAGGGUCCGUAGGCGGUUUGAUAAGUCAGUGGUGAAAGCCCAUCGCUCAACGAUGGAACGGCCAUUGAUACUGUUAGACUUGAAUUACUGGGAAGUAACUAGAAUAUGUAGUGUAGCGGUGAAAUGCUUAGAGAUUACAUGGAAUACCAAUUGCGAAGGCAGGUUACUACUAAUUGAUUGACGCUGAUGGACGAAAGCGUGGGUAGCGAACAGG
RNAcentral lists this ribosomal RNA (253 nucleotides) under uncultured bacterium. RNAcentral describes it as "partial 16S ribosomal RNA". It matches the Rfam family "Bacterial small subunit ribosomal RNA", at positions 524 to 776 of the family's 1533-position model. The record is from RNAcentral.